This 468-nucleotide ribosomal RNA is filed under the name uncultured bacterium. RNAcentral's name for it is "partial 16S ribosomal RNA". It matches the Rfam family "Bacterial small subunit ribosomal RNA", at positions 28 to 507 of the family's 1533-position model. The record is from RNAcentral.
GACGAACGCUGGCGGCGUGCUUAACACAUGCAAGUCGAACGGAAAGGCCCUGCUUUUGUGGGGUGCUCGAGUGGCGAACGGGUGAGUAACACGUGUGUAACCUGCCCUUGAUUUUGGGAUAACUUCAGGAAACUGGGGCUAAUACCGGAUAGGAGCUCCGGCUGCAUGGUGGGGGUUGGAAAGUUUCGGCGGUUGGGGAUGGACUCGCGGCUUAUCAGCUUGUUGGUGGGGUAGUGGCUUACCAAGGCUUUGACGGGUAGCCGGACUGAGAGGGUGACCGGCCACAUUGGGACUGAGAUACGGCCCAGACUCCUGCGGGAGGCAGCAGUCGGGAAUAUUGCAGCAUGGGCGGAAGCCUGAUACAGCAACGCCGCGAGCGGGAUGACCGCCUUUGGGUUGUAAACCGCUUUCGCCUGUGACGAAGCGUGAGUGACGGUAAUGGGUAAAGAAGCACCGGCUAACUACGUG